This 521-nucleotide ribosomal RNA is filed under the name uncultured bacterium. Its description in RNAcentral is "bacterial SSU rRNA". It matches the Rfam family "Bacterial small subunit ribosomal RNA", at positions 25 to 518 of the family's 1533-position model. The record is from RNAcentral.
CAGGACGAACGCUGGCGGCGUGCCUAAUACAUGCAAGUCGAACGGUCUUUCUAUGGAAGCUUGCUUCCACUGAGAAGAUAGUGGCGAACGGGUGAGUAACACGUGGGUAACCUGCCCAUAAGAGGGGGAGUAACAUCCGGAAACGGGUGCUAAUACCGCAUAGUUUUCUUGAUUGCAUGAUUGAGAAGGAAAGACGGCCUUUGUGCUGUCGCUUAUGGAUGGACCCGCGGCGUAUUAGUUAGUUGGUGAGGUAACGGCUCACCAAGACGAUGAUACGUAGCCGACCUGAGAGGGUGAUCGGCCACAUUGGGACUGAGACACGGCCCAAACUCCUACGGGAGGCAGCAGUAGGGAAUCUUCCGCAAUGGACGAAAGUCUGACGGAGCAACGCCGCGUGAGUGAAGAAAAGGUUUUCGGAUCGUAAAACUCUGUUGUCAGAGAAGAACAAGUUGGAGAGUAACUGCUCCAGCCUUGACGGUAUCUGACCAGAAAGCCACGGCUAACUACGUGCCAGCAGCCGC